RNAcentral lists this ribosomal RNA (253 nucleotides) under uncultured bacterium. RNAcentral's name for it is "partial 16S ribosomal RNA". It matches the Rfam family "Bacterial small subunit ribosomal RNA", at positions 524 to 776 of the family's 1533-position model. The record is from RNAcentral.
UACGUAGGUGGCAAGCGUUGUCCGGAUUUAUUGGGUUUAAAGGGCGCGUAGGCGGCUUGACAAGUCACUUGUGAAAUCUCUGAGCUUAACUCAGAACGGCCAAGUGAAACUGUUGUGCUAGAGUGCAGAAGGGGCAAUCGGAAUUCUUGGUGUAGCGGUGAAAUGCGUAGAUAUCAAGAGGAACACCUGAGGUGAAGACGGGUUGCUGGGCUGACACUGACGCUGAUGCGCGAAAGCCAGGGGAGCAAACGGG